This 460-nucleotide ribosomal RNA is filed under the name uncultured bacterium. Its description in RNAcentral is "partial 16S ribosomal RNA". It matches the Rfam family "Bacterial small subunit ribosomal RNA", at positions 338 to 795 of the family's 1533-position model. The record is from RNAcentral.
CCUACGGGAGGCAGCAGUGAGGAAUAUUGGUCAAUGGGCUUACGCCUGAACCAGCCAAGUCGCGUGAGGGAAGACUGCCCUAUGGGUUGUAAACCUCUUUUGUCAGGGAGCAACGCCGGCUACGUGUAGCCGGACUGAGAGUACCUGAAGAAAAAGCAUCGGCUAACUCCGUGCCAGCAGCCGCGGUAAUACGGAGGAUGCGAGCGUUAUCCGGAUUUAUUGGGUUUAAAGGGUGCGUAGGCGGCAUGCCAAGUCAGCGGUAAAAUCGCGGGGCUCAACCUCGCUCCGCCGUUGAAACUGGCGUUCUUGAGUGGGCGAGAAGUAUGCGGAAUGCGUGGUGUAGCGGUGAAAUGCAUAGAUAUUAGGAGGAACAUCAGGGGCGAAGGCGACUUACUGGACUGUAACUGACACUGAGGCACGAAAGCGUGGGGAGCAAACAGGAUUAGAUACCCCUGUAGUC